This 250-nucleotide ribosomal RNA is filed under the name uncultured bacterium. Its description in RNAcentral is "partial 16S ribosomal RNA". It matches the Rfam family "Bacterial small subunit ribosomal RNA", at positions 524 to 773 of the family's 1533-position model. The record is from RNAcentral.
GACGUACUGCGCGAACGUUAUUCGGAAUCACUGGGCUUAAAGGGUGCGCAGGCGGCUGCCCAAGCCCGAAGUGAAAUGCCCCGGCCCAACCGGGGACGUGCUUCGGGGACUGGGCGGCUCGGGCGAGCUAGGGGUCCGUGGAACUCCCGGUGGAGCGGUGAAAUGUGUUGAGAUCGGGAGGAACGCCGGUGGCGAAAGCGACGGACUGGGGCUUUGCCGACGCUCAGGCACGAAAGCCAGGGGAGCGAAC